Molecule: ribosomal RNA, 440 nt
Filed under: uncultured bacterium
Lineage: Bacteria
Description: partial 16S ribosomal RNA
Rfam family: Bacterial small subunit ribosomal RNA
Source: RNAcentral
CCUACGGGUGGCAGCAGUGGGGAAUAUUGCACAAUGGGGGAAACCCUGAUGCAGCGACGCCGCGUGAAGGAAGAAGUAUUUCGGUAUGUAAACUUCUAUCAGCAGGGAAGAAAAUGACGGUACCUGACUAAGAAGCCCCGGCUAACUACGUGCCAGCAGCCGCGGUAAUACGUAGGGGGCAAGCGUUAUCCGGAUUUACUGGGUGUAGAGGGAGCGUAGGCGGUUUAGCAAGUCAGAAGUGAAAGCCCGGGGAUCAACUCCGGGACUGCUUUUGAAACUGUUGAACUAGAUUGCAGGAGAGGUAAGUGGAAUUCGUAGUGUAGCGGUGAAAUGCGUAGAUAUACGGAGGAACACCAGUGGCGAAGGCGGCCUGCUGGACAAUAACUGACGCUGAGGCGCGAAAGCGUGGGGAGCAAACAGGAUUAGAUACCCCAGUAGUC